UGGGGAAUAUUGGGCAAUGGGGGAAACCCUGACCCAGCAACGCCGCGUGAGGGAAGAAGGUCUUCGGAUUGUAAACCUCUUUUACCAGGGAAGAAGAAAGUGACGGUACCUGGAGAAAAAGCCACGGCUAACUACGUGCCAGCAGCCGCGGUAAUACGUAGGUGGCAAGCGUUGUCCGGAUUUACUGGGUGUAAAGGGCGUGUAGGCGGGAAGACAGGUCAGAUGUGAAAUGCCGGGGCUCAACUCCGGAGCUGCAUUUGAAACCGUUUUUCUUGAGUAUCGGAGAGGCAGGCGGAAUUCCUAGUGUAGCGGUGAAAUGCGUAGAUAUUAGGAGGAACACCAGUGGCGAAGGCGGCCUGCUGGACGACAACUGACGCUGAGGCGCGAAAGCGUGGGGAGCAAACA
Molecule: ribosomal RNA, 405 nt
Filed under: uncultured bacterium
Lineage: Bacteria
Description: bacterial SSU rRNA
Rfam family: Bacterial small subunit ribosomal RNA
Source: RNAcentral